GGCUCAGGAUGAACGCUAGCGGCAGGCUUAACACAUGCAAGUCGAGGGGUAUGCCGAUUUAUCGGCAGAGACCGGCGCACGGGUGCGUAACGCGUAUGCAAUCUACCUUUCACAGAGGAUAGCCCAGAGAAUUUGGAUUAAUACCUCAUAGUAUAGCAAUUUCGCAUGAAACCACUAUUAAAGUUCCAACGGUAAAAGAUGAGUAUGCGUCCCAUUAGCUAGAUGGUAAGGUAACGGCUUACCAUGGCUACGAUGGGUAGGGGUCCUGAGAGGGAGAUCCCCCACACUGGUACUGAGACACGGACCAGACUCCUACGGGAGGCAGCAGUGAGGAAUAUUGGACAAUGGGCGCAAGCCUGAUCCAGCCAUGCCGCGUGCAGGAAGACGGUCCUAUGGAUUGUAAACUGCUUUUAUACAGGAAGAAACACUCCGACGUGUCGGAGCUUGACGGUACUGUAAGAAUAAGGAUCGGCUAACUCCGUG
RNAcentral lists this ribosomal RNA (483 nucleotides) under uncultured bacterium. RNAcentral describes it as "bacterial SSU rRNA". It matches the Rfam family "Bacterial small subunit ribosomal RNA", at positions 21 to 507 of the family's 1533-position model. The record is from RNAcentral.